UUCGGGGUCAGCGGCGGACGGGUGAGUAACGCGUGGGAACGUGCCUUCUGGUUCGGAAUAACCCUGGGAAACUAGGGCUAAUACCGGAUACGCCCUUUUGGGGAAAGGUUUACUGCCGGAAGAUCGGCCCGCGUCUGAUUAGCUAGUUGGUGGGGUAACGGCCUACCAAGGCGACGAUCAGUAGCUGGUCUGAGAGGAUGAUCAGCCACACUGGGACUGAGACACGGCCCAGACUCCUACGGGAGGCAGCAGUGGGGAAUAUUGGACAAUGGGCGCAAGCCUGAUCCAGCCAUGCCGCGUGAGUGAUGAAGGCCUUGGGGUUGUAAAGCUCUUUUAUCCGGGACGAUAAUGACGGUACCGGAGGAAUAAGCCCCGGCUAACUUCGUGCCAGCAGCCGCGGUAAUACGAAGGGGGCUAGCGUUGCUCGGAAUCACUGGGCGUAAAGGGCGCGUAGGCGGCGUUUUAAGUCGGGGGUGAAAGCCUGUGGCUCAACCACAGAAUGGCCUUCGAUACUGGGACGCUUGAGUAUGGUAGAGGUUGGUGGAACUGCGAGUGUAGAGGUGAAAUUCGUAGAUAUUCGCAAGAACACCGGUGGCGAAGGCGGCCAACUGGACCAUUACUGACGCUGAGGCGCGAAAGCGUGGGGAGCAAACAGG
RNAcentral lists this ribosomal RNA (656 nucleotides) under uncultured Alphaproteobacteria bacterium. RNAcentral describes it as "bacterial SSU rRNA". It matches the Rfam family "Bacterial small subunit ribosomal RNA", at positions 85 to 776 of the family's 1533-position model. Lineage: Bacteria; Pseudomonadati; Pseudomonadota; Alphaproteobacteria. The record is from RNAcentral.